This 466-nucleotide ribosomal RNA is filed under the name uncultured bacterium. RNAcentral describes it as "partial 16S ribosomal RNA". It matches the Rfam family "Bacterial small subunit ribosomal RNA", at positions 28 to 507 of the family's 1533-position model. The record is from RNAcentral.
GACGAACGCUGGCGGCGCGCCUAACACAUGCAAGUCGAACGAGCGAGAGAGAGCUUGCUUUCUUGAGCGAGUGGCGAACGGGUGAGUAACGCGCGAGGAACCUGCCUCAAAGAGGGGGACAACAGUUGGAAACGACUGCUAAUACCGCAUAAGCCCACGGUGCCGCAUGGCACAGAGGGAAAAGGAGCAAUCCGCUUUGAGAUGGCCUCGCGUCCGAUUAGCUAGUUGGUGAGGUAACGGCCCACCAAGGCGACGAUCGGUAGCCGGACUGAGAGGUUGAACGGCCACAUUGGGACUGAGACACGGCCCAGACUCCUACGGGAGGCAGCAGUGGGGAAUAUUGCACAAUGGGGGAAACCCUGAUGCAGCGACGCCGCGUGGAGGAAGAAGGUCUUCGGAUUGUAAACUCCUGUUGUUGGGGAAGAUAAUGACGGUACCCAACAAGGAAGUGACGGCUAACUACGUG